UACGGAGGGUGCAAGCGUUAUCCGGAUUUACUGGGUUUAAAGGGUGUGUAGGCGGGCUAUUAAGUCAGUGGUGAAAUCUCCGAGCUUAACUUGGAAACUGCCAUUGAUACUAUUAGUCUUGAAUUCUGUUGAGGUAGGCGGAAUAAGUCAUGUAGCGGUGAAAUGCAUAGAUAUGACUUAGAACACCGAUUGCGAAGGCAGCUUGCUAAACAGAAAUUGACGCUGAGGCACGAAAGCGUGGGGAU
Molecule: ribosomal RNA, 245 nt
Filed under: uncultured Niabella sp.
Lineage: Bacteria; Pseudomonadati; Bacteroidota; Chitinophagia; Chitinophagales; Chitinophagaceae
Description: partial 16S ribosomal RNA
Rfam family: Bacterial small subunit ribosomal RNA
Source: RNAcentral